RNAcentral lists this unclassified non-coding RNA (304 nucleotides) under uncultured fungus. Its description in RNAcentral is "sequence contains ITS1". The stretch from base 1 to 96 matches the Rfam family "5.8S ribosomal RNA", at positions 51 to 154 of the family's 154-position model. The record is from RNAcentral. Lineage: Eukaryota; Fungi.
AAGUGCGAUAUCUAGUGCGAUUUGCAUGAAUCUGUGAGUCAUCGAGUUUUUGAACGCAACUUGCGCCCAGUAAUGGGCAUGUCUGUUUGAGUACCGCAUACCAUAAUGCCUAGUGCGAUUUGAUCACUAGCUAGCUAUAGUAGGUUAGGUGGCCUGGCCUCCUUGCUUGCGUGCUGCUGUGUAUCUAAAUGGAUGUUACACUCUUGAUGAGGGUGUCAUGCUAGAGACGUCAAGUCUUUCUUUUGACACCCCCCCAUCACACAAUAUUGGUCUCAAAUCAGGCAAGAUUACCCGCUGAACUUAA